This 1584-nucleotide long non-coding RNA is filed under the name Cinara cedri. Lineage: Eukaryota; Metazoa; Arthropoda; Insecta; Hemiptera; Aphididae. The record is from RNAcentral.
UCUUUGUAUAUAAUAUGUGUUGUAUAGUUGAUAAUAAUUAUAUUUUUUCUAGGUAUAUAUUAUAUUGUGAUACGAUAUGAUAAUGACGUAUUAAAUUUACUAAUCUAAACAAAACCGCUAAAACUUAAAAAAAAAAAAAGUAUAAAACAAUCAUUAUUUAUUAAUUUUACCAGUGAUUACCAAAUUCAAUUCAAAGCUACUUACAUUAAUAUCAUACUUUCUUGAAAUAUUAUCAAGGAAUGUGUUUAUCACAAACAGUAUUGAAACUUAAAUCUAGAUAAUUAAUUUACGUGGUAUUAUUUUUUUUUAUCUUUUAUUUUAAAUAAAUUACAAUUUUGAUAUCCAUCGCAUAUCGAUAUACGUUGUUAUUUUAAAAUCAAAAAAAUGUAAUGGUAUUACCCGAAAAAAUAAAGAUAGCCCAAAAUAAAUGUAAUGUCAAACAUGAGAUCUUCUUGUUCCUUAAAUCGUCAAAAAAAAUCACUGAAAAAACUCAAUACUUUUUGAAACAUUAAGUGACACUUAAAUGGAUCACUCUGUAUAAGUAAGAUGGCAAAAUUGGAAUACGCGGGUAUUAUGAACACCAUUAAAAAUGGGUUUAUUAGUUAAAUAAUAUACUGAACACAAAAAUCAAGUUUAAAACUACUUCCAGCUUAGUUUUCUUUUCGUAAAUGUCAAUAUUGUUAAUGAUGUAAAUAAGUCGUAAUGCCUAUAAUUGACUAAAAAAUGACUAUAAAAAAUGUACUAUGAUGUACAUUUUAUUUUCAUUUAUUCAUUAUGUAAGUAAUUAUUAUUAUUUUUAAAUCUGAACUGUAUAUAUAAAAAAUACCGAAUAAGAAAUUUCGUUAAAUUGAAAAUACGGUUCUUUUGAAACAAGAAAAAUAAAUAACUAAUUUAUUAUUUAUUUAAAACACUGCAGUGGUUUGAGUCCAAAAAGUUAAAUUUCAUAUUUUACAUUCGAUCAAGAUUUUUAGUUGAUUUCGAUAUUAAAAUUCCCAUUGCAAGUAAUUUGUUUACAACUAUUAAAUUUACAUUUUGCACAUGGUUUUAAAAUAAAUCUAAACAGACGAAUACAUGAUUUUCUUGAAAUACGGAAUAUACAUUAUAUAUAUAUGGAGGGACUCGAUUUUUUUUAUUAGACAUUUUAUAAUAAUAAACAUACAUAUAUAACUAUUAUAUUUCAGUUUGUAUUAUCAAUUUAUAAAACCAUUUCUGGUAUUGAUUUUAUUAUUUUUUUAAUCAGAAAUCAUUGAAAAAUAUAUGUGUUGAUAACUCAAUUUUUCCGUCACAAGUCAACAAUGCCACCCGUUUAGUCUAGUGUAUAUUCACAAAUACGUGCAAAUACGCAACUACAGUAGACUUAACUAUUUUUUUUACAUGCAAUUCAAAUUUUUUUCAGUAAGGUUAAAGUUGGUAGAAUUUCAGUAAAAUAAAUUUUAGAUUAAGAUUUUGAUAUCAAAUUUAGACGUUUAAUUUUUCCGUAAACAGGUAAAUAAAUUGCACUGUAGAAGAAGUUUACCAUAAUUUGAGCGGUGUUAUAAAAACGCAACUAAUAUAACAAACAUAUUAUGUUUUAACAUUGUUACU